RNAcentral lists this long non-coding RNA (950 nucleotides) under Androctonus crassicauda. Lineage: Eukaryota; Metazoa; Arthropoda; Arachnida; Scorpiones; Buthidae. The record is from RNAcentral.
AUAGCAGUUGGGAAUCUAUUAUCUUUUUGUGUCCAGUUUUAAUGUUGAUUUAACCAGCAUAUUAGGUCAUGAAGAAGUCAUUCAUGACUUUAUAUAUAAGUUGUGAUUCACUUAUAAACUUUAUGAAUAUUAGGUUGACAGUGGACCAUGCAGAAAUAUCAUUUUCCAUAUCAUUCAUUUUUUAUAGUAUUUGAAAUCCAUUGACUUUUUAUGUCCACUUUUAAUGCUGAUUAUACUUAAUAUUGAUUUAACUAGCAUAUGUCACAAUAAUAAUAUUGUCAUGGCAGUGUGAUGUCACAUCUGUAUGACUAUCAUCAUCCCAAAUUUGAAGGAUUUAAAUGAAUGCUUUUUCACUGCUACCCCAAAAUAUCCCUUUGUUGCCUGCAGGAAGUCUCUGUGCAUAGUUUGGCCCUGAGAAGUAAAUGAUUCAGGAGUCUUUGUGGAAUAAACAGACAAACAUUGCAUUUUAUUUAAUUGAUAACAAAGCAAAUCAGUAUAUUCAGUCUCUGAUUAAACAUUUCUAAUUGACCACAGUCUGGACAGAAGGUAUGCUAGACUAUCAGAAGUUUAAUUAUUAAUAAAUGAUUAAAUUCUAUAAUCAUCAGUUGAUUUUAGGAAUGUGAGAUCAAUGGACAAAAUGGACAGGCAUUAGACCUUGUUGCAAUGAAUGGUACUCUGCAAGUACGGUUGGGUGAUGAGGCUAGAUUUUGUGAAACAGAGAUCACGGUUUAAAAAACCAAUAACUUCCUUUAUUAAAAUAUUAGAGAAUUCUUUACAAGGUACUAUCCCAGCAAUUCAUAGGAAGAAUACCUCUGGGUUGAGGAAUAAUCCAGAUGAUAAAAAAAUUCAGCUUUGCUUGCACAACAGUACGGUGUCGGAACAAGGAUGAGAUUGACAUUGGCUUCAUUGACGAUGGAAAUGAACAGUGGAGAUAAACAGUGAAUAUGAAC